Molecule: non-coding RNA, 74 nt
Organism: Sus scrofa (pig)
Lineage: Eukaryota; Metazoa; Chordata; Mammalia; Artiodactyla; Suidae
Source: Rfam
UCCAUGGUGGCUCAGUGGGUUAAGGAGCCAGCAUUGUCACUGCUAUGGCUCAGGUUCCAUCCCUGGCCUGGGAA